Molecule: ribosomal RNA, 424 nt
Filed under: uncultured bacterium
Lineage: Bacteria
Description: partial 16S ribosomal RNA
Rfam family: Bacterial small subunit ribosomal RNA
Source: RNAcentral
GUGGGGAAUAUUGGACAAUGGGCGCAAGCCUGAUCCAGCCAUGCCGCGUGAGUGAUGAAGGCCUUAGGGUUGUAAAGCUCUUUUGUCCGGGAAGAUAAUGACUGUACCGGAAGAAUAAGCCCCGGCUAACUUCGUGCCAGCAGCCGCGGUAAUACGAAGGGGGCUGCGUUGUUCGGAAUCACUGGGCGUAAAGCGCACGUAGGCGGACCAUUAAGUCAGGGGUGAAAGCCUGGAGCUCAACUCCAGAACUGCCUUUGAUACUGAUGGUCUCGAGUAUGGAAGAGGUUGGUGGAACUGCGAGUGUAGAGGUGAAAUUCGUAGAUAUUCGCAAGAACACCGGUGGCGAAGGCGGCCAACUGGUCCAUUACUGACGCUGAGGUGCGAAAGCGUGGGGAGCAAACAGGAUUAGAAACCCUUGUAGUCC